This 909-nucleotide transfer RNA is filed under the name uncultured cyanobacterium. RNAcentral describes it as "partial contains 16S ribosomal RNA, 16S-23S ribosomal RNA intergenic spacer, and 23S ribosomal RNA". The stretch from base 181 to 254 matches the Rfam family "tRNA". Lineage: Bacteria; Bacillati; Cyanobacteriota. The record is from RNAcentral.
CAGGGAUACAAUACGCGAUAUUGAUGCUUGAACCAAUACGGAUUUUAAGCCAGUGUCCUGUCAUCUCUAGGUCGAUCGGUACCUCAGGUUAAGAGCUACUAGCAACCAGGUUCGCUUGGUUAGUUGAGUAGUGAUUAAUGUUCAGUUCCUAAACUUUGUCUAGGUCACCCCAAAUCUCCUGGGCCAUUAGCUCAGGUGGUUAGAGCGCACCCCUGAUAAGGGUGAGGUCCCUGGUUCAAGUCCAGGAUGGCCCAUUCACAGCUUGCUAAGCAAGCAGGACUUACUGGCUGGGGGUUUAGCUCAGUUGGUAGGGCGCCUGCUUUGCAAGCAGGAUGUCAGCGGUUCGAGUCCGCUAACCUCCAUAUCAACGCUAACCCAAAGAGCGAGUUGUGCAGGAGAGCAGGGAUUGCACCGUAAAGAAUUUUCUUUACGUGUAUGUAUCCAAGCGUGGUGAUCAAGACGGGUAAGGAGAAGAGCUGAACAAGACUCCAGCCUUCAGGUGCCAAUGGUGGACCAAGCCAUGCUGAAUGCAAGCAUGGCAGGGACCAUCGAUCGGGCAAUUGAAAGCUGGACUCACCCCCCACCAGGGGGUAUGGGUUUCAGCAGGGUUGACCACGUCAGUGGUGAGCCUAAGAACCUUGACAACUGUAUAGGAAAGUCUGGAAAGAAAGCAUCUCAUGGAUGUCCAGCGAAAGCUGGAGAUUCUAUUUGAGUUUAGAGCCGAGACUUUCCAGUGUUCUUCCAAUGUUGUGGCUCAUCCAGCCAUGGCAGCGGGAGUUUGAUUGUGGCAUUCAAACCACGAGCGAAUAAUAUCUCAUUACCGUAAAAAGUAGUGAUGAUUUAUUUUAGCGAGCAGGUGAAUCCAGAAGAAGCGGCCUCAACAGCCGUAAGACACUGGGAAGAUAAAUU